UACAGGGGGUGCAAACGUUGCUCGGAAUCAUUGGGCGUAAAGCGCACGUAGGCGGUUUGUCGCGUCUGCUGUGAAAUCUCAAGGCUCAACCUUGAGCUUGCAGUGGGUACGGGCAGACUAGAGUGUGGUAGGGGAGACUGGAAUUCCUGGUGUAGCGGUGAAAUGCGCAGAUAUCAGGAGGAACACCGAUGGCGAAGGCAGGUCUCUGGGCCACUACUGACGCUGAGAAGCGAAAGCAUGGGGAGCGAACAGG
RNAcentral lists this ribosomal RNA (253 nucleotides) under uncultured bacterium. RNAcentral's name for it is "partial 16S ribosomal RNA". It matches the Rfam family "Bacterial small subunit ribosomal RNA", at positions 524 to 776 of the family's 1533-position model. The record is from RNAcentral.